Molecule: ribosomal RNA, 643 nt
Filed under: uncultured Actinomycetes bacterium
Lineage: Bacteria; Bacillati; Actinomycetota; Actinomycetes
Description: bacterial SSU rRNA
Rfam family: Bacterial small subunit ribosomal RNA
Source: RNAcentral
GCACACGUGCACGUCGACGAGUCGCGGCUCUAUCAGCUUGUGGAGAGGUAACGGCUCACCAAGGCAUCGAUCGGGUAGCUUGAGUGAGAGGAUGAUCAGCCACACGUGGAACUGAGACACGGUCCAGACUCCUACGGGAGGCAGCAGUGGGGAAUUUUGCUCAUUGGGCGCAAGCCUGAUGCAGAGAUGCCCCGUGCGGGAAGAAGGCCUUAGGGUUGUAAACCCAUUUCAGUAGGGAAGAAAAUGUUGGUACCUACAGAAGAAGGUGCGGCCAACAGUAGCCAGCAGCCGCUGUGACGGGUAGGCAUCAAGCUUUAUCCGGAUUUAUUGGGAGUAAAGAGCUAGUAGGCGGUUUGGUAAGUAGGGUGAGAAAACUUUGGGCUCAACCCAGAGAGGCCACUCGGCUCUGCUAUGACUAGAGUACGGUAGGGGAGCGGGGAAUUCUUGGUGUAUCGGGGAAAUGGGCAGAUAUCAGGAGGAACUCCAGCGGCGAAGGGCCCGCUUUGGUCAGUAAUUGACGCUGAGGACAGAAAGCAUGGGUAGCAAACAGGAUUAGAUUCCCUGGUAGUCCACACCGUAAACGUUGGGCAUCAGGUGUGGGUAUCAACCAACGAGAUCCGCGCCGUCGAUAACGCAUUAAGUG